Macadamia integrifolia is the source of this 1037-nucleotide long non-coding RNA. RefSeq lists it as uncharacterized. NCBI's taxonomy places the organism in Eukaryota, Viridiplantae, Streptophyta, Magnoliopsida, Proteales, Proteaceae. The record is from RefSeq and is a predicted model, not a curated record. The transcript has 3 exons.
UCGUAAUUGACAAAAACCCAUCCUCCCCAAAAUCAUUUACAUCAUCUCUGUCGUCUCCGACCAAUCCAACCUCUGUCUUCUUUCCGGUGGCGCUUGAAGUGGCCGGCGAAUUCUAGCAAAAUUUAUUUCAGCAGCAUUGUCGACAUAGGGAAAAAAAAUUGGAAGCUGAAACACUUAACACCACACUAACCCCUGUUCCCUUGAUACCCUCAUAACCUCUUUUCAGUCUCUCUCUCGUCUCUCAACUCCCUCUCUGUGAUCUCUGUGAAUCCACCUGUCCCCAUCGUGAAAGGGCACUCGUUAACCGCCGGUUGUUAAAGCUUCUGAAGGCAAUGUCUCCAAAUCUAAUGGGGAAGACAGUUGUAUCAAUGCCAGACGAAAAGAGGUUAGCAAAACAGUCACUUAUGACAUAUCUCGCUCCUAUUAGAAUUGAAGAUAUUGCACUGCUUAUUCUCAGGCUCAGGCGAAAAGAUCUAAGGACUGCUGAAAGGAAGCAAAGAGAUAGCAGGGCAUGUCCUAUUGGAAGAUUCUGGACCCCCCCAUGUUGUCUUUCCCAUCCUUUCCAGUAACUCGAGAGGAGCCGUGCCUCAUGAGCAGGGGAUCAUUUCCCAGGAUGGUACCACACAGGGUAAGGUCAGGAUUGGAUGGAUUCUAGGGACCUCUGUUUUGGGAAGUUUGUGGCUUCAUCGAAAUGACCAACAUGCAGACCUACCAUAUAUUGCUUCACUGCAGAUAAGCAAUUGCUUCAUUUCUUCAUUGUUCAAUCCAUGUUGGCUAGAAAUACAAAAAUCUGUAUGUGGAAGCAAAAUGAUCAACUUCUUUUCUUGUAUGCGAGUCUUUAGCUCAAAUAGGUAGAGCACUUGGGAGAUUCCUCAAGAGAUGGUGGUUCAAAUCCAUCAAGACUCAUUGAAUUUUCUUACAUCUAGUUUUCUUGAUGGGCUGAUCCCAUUAAGUUGAGAUAAGGUUAUGGCAUUGUUGUGAUUAUUGAUCUUGAACCCAAGACCUCACGGUAGGAUAGGCUUUAAUGCUUUACACUA